RNAcentral lists this ribosomal RNA (424 nucleotides) under uncultured bacterium. RNAcentral describes it as "bacterial SSU rRNA". It matches the Rfam family "Bacterial small subunit ribosomal RNA", at positions 356 to 771 of the family's 1533-position model. The record is from RNAcentral.
GGGGAAUCUUGCGCAAUGGGCGAAAGCCUGACGCAGCGACGCCGCGUGGGGGAUGAAGGCCUUCGGGUUGUAAACCCCUGUCAGGCGGAACGAAUCCCCCGAGGACGAAUAAUCCUUGGGGUUGACGGUACCGCCAGAGGAAGCCCCGGCUAACUACGUGCCAGCAGCCGCGGUAAGACGUAGGGGGCCAGCGUUGCUCGGAAUAACUGGGCGUAAAGGGUCCGUAGGCGGUGCAGCAAGUCGGGAGUGAAAUCUCUGGGCUUAACUCAGAGACUGCUUCCGAAACUGCUGUGCUCGAGUGCGAGAGAGGCGAGUGGAAUUGCAGGUGUAGCGGUGAAAUGCGUAGAUAUCUGCAGGAACACCAGAGGCGAAAGCGGCUCGCUGGAUCGCAACUGACGCUGAGGGACGAAAGCUAGGGGAGCAA